This 484-nucleotide ribosomal RNA is filed under the name uncultured bacterium. RNAcentral describes it as "partial 16S ribosomal RNA". It matches the Rfam family "Bacterial small subunit ribosomal RNA", at positions 30 to 507 of the family's 1533-position model. The record is from RNAcentral.
AUUGAACGCUGGCGGCAGGCCUAACACAUGCCAGUCGAGCGGAUGAAGGGAGCUUGCUCCUGGAUUCAGCGGCGGACGGGUGAGUAAUGCCUAGGAAUCUGCCUGGUAGUGGGGGAUAACGUCCGGAAACGGGCGCUAAUACCGCAUACGUCCUGAGGGAGAAAGUGGGGGAUCUUCGGACCUCACGCUAUCAGAUGAGCCUAGGUCGGAUUAGCUAGUUGGUGGGGUAAAGGCCUACCAAGGCGACGAUCCGUAGCUGGUCUGAGAGGAUGAUCAGUCACACUGGAACUGAGACACGGUCCAGACUCCUACGGGAGGCAGCAGUGGGGAAUAUUGGACAAUGGGCGAAAGCCUGAUCCAGCCAUGCCGCGUGUGUGAAGAAGGUCUUCGGAUUGUAAAGCACUUUAAGUUGGGAGGAAGGGCAGUAAGUUAAUACCUUGCUGUUUUGACGUUACCAACAGAAUAAGCACCGGCUAACUUCGUG